AGUUUUCUUUCUUCUU
This 16-nucleotide small RNA is filed under the name Arabidopsis thaliana (thale cress). RNAcentral describes it as "ATSL187760". The record is from RNAcentral. Lineage: Eukaryota; Viridiplantae; Streptophyta; Magnoliopsida; Brassicales; Brassicaceae.